UUCACUUUCCUGGCUCUCGGUUCUGCCCCCGGCUUCCAGGGCACGGUUCCAGGUUAAGUCCCAGGAGACCCAAACCUUGCCCACAAGUCACUAGUCACUCCCAGCAGUCAAAGGAGCUGAGGACAGCAGAGCAGCCCGGCCACCAGAAGAGCUGUCUUCACGCAGCGACGGCGGGACAGCACUGAACUUGGUGCAGGAGCAGCCGCUGAUGGAAACUGCCCCCCAGGACAGCACCACUAGGAUUUAUAGGGACACAGGUGACAAGAACUACGAGUUCCCAGAACCGGGGAAGAGGGAAGGAGAGAGAGCAAAAAGACGAGGAGAGGAAAAGAAAGAAGACCAGCAGAGAGCUCUCCAAAGAUGGGACUGUGCCUGUGGGCAGAAGAGCAUCUCUGGACACAGCUGAGAAAAC
Molecule: long non-coding RNA, 412 nt
Organism: Eptesicus fuscus (big brown bat)
Lineage: Eukaryota; Metazoa; Chordata; Mammalia; Chiroptera; Vespertilionidae
Exons: 3
Source: RefSeq, a predicted model, not a curated record